This 393-nucleotide ribosomal RNA is filed under the name uncultured bacterium. RNAcentral's name for it is "partial 16S ribosomal RNA". It matches the Rfam family "Bacterial small subunit ribosomal RNA", at positions 523 to 918 of the family's 1533-position model. The record is from RNAcentral.
AUACGGAGGGUGCAAGCGUUAUCCGGAUUUAUUGGGUUUAAAGGGUGCGUAGGCGGUUUGAUAAGUCAGCGGUGAAAUAUUUAAGCUUAACUGGAAGGGUGCCGUUGAUACUGUCGAGCUUGAAUUUAGUUGCUGUGGGUGGAAUGGGUGGUGUAGCGGUGAAAUGCAUAGAUAUCACACAGAAUAUCGAUUGCGAAGGCAGCUCACAAAGCUAAUAUUGACGCUGAUGCACGAAAGUGUGGGGAUCAAACAGGAUUAGAUACCCUGGUAGUCCACACUGUAAACGAUGAUAACUCGCUGUCGGCGAUACAUAGUCGGUGGCCAAGCGAAAGCGAUAAGUUAUCCACCUGGGGAGUACGACCGCAAGGUUGAAACUCAAAUGAAUUGACGGGG